UACAUGCAAGUCGAGGGGUAGAGAAGGCUUGCUUUCUUGAGACCGGCGCACGGGUGCGUAACGCGUAUGCAACCUACCUUUAUCUGGGGGAUAGCCCGGAGAAAUCCGGAUUAAUACCGCAUAAAAUCACAGAAUAGCAUUAUUUAAUGAUCAAACAUUUAUGGGAUGAAGAUGGGCAUGCGUGUCAUUAGCUAGUUGGCGGGGUAACGGCCCACCAAGGCGACGAUGACUAGGGGAUCUGAGAGGAUGGCCCCCCACACUGGUACUGAGACACGGACCAGACUCCUACGGGAGGCAGCAGUAAGGAAUAUUGGUCAAUGGAGGCAACUCUGAACCAGCCAUGCCGCGUGCAGGAUGACUGCCCUAUGGGUUGUAAACUGCUUUUAUCCGGGAAUAAACCUACUUACGUGUAAGUAGCUGAACGUACCGGAGGAAUAAGGAUCGGCUAACUCCGUGCCAGCAGCCGCGGUAAUACGGAGGAUCCAAGCGUUAUCCGGAUUUAUUGGGUUUAAAGGGUGCGUAGGCGGCCUGUUAAGUCAGGGGUGAAAGACGGUAGCUCAACUAUCGCAGUGCCCUUGAUACUGAUGGGCUUGAAUGGACUAGAGGUAGGCGGAAUGAGACAAGUAGCGGUGAAAUGCAUAGAUAUGUCUCAGAACACCGAUUGCGAAGGCAGCUUACUAUGGUCUUAUUGACGCUGAGGCACGAAAGCGUGGGGAUCAAACAGGAUUAGAUACCCUGGUAGUCCACGCCCUAAACGAUGAACACUCGCUGUUGGCGAUACACAGUCAGCGGCUAAGCGAAAGCGUUAAGUGUUCCACCUGGGGAGUACGCCCGCAAGGGUGAAACUCAAAGGAUUUGACGGGGGCCCGCACAAGCGGAGGAGCAUGUGGUUUAAUUCGAUGAUACGCGAGGAACCUUACCCGGGCUUGAAAGUUAGUGAAUUAUCCAGAGAUGGAUAAGUGAGCAAUCACACGAAACUAGGUGCUGCAUGGCUGUCGUCAGCUCGUGCCGUGAGGUGUUGGGUUAAGUCCCGCAACGAGCGCAACCCCUAUGUUUAGUUGCCAGCACGUUAAGGUGGGGACUCUAAACAGACUGCCUGUGCAAACAGAGAGGAAGGAGGGGACGACGUCAAGUCAUCAUGGCCCUUACGUCCGGGGCUACACACGUGCUACAAUGGAUGGUACAGAGGGCAGCUACAUAGCAAUAUGAUGCGAAUCUCACAAAGCCAUUCACAGUUCGGAUUGGGGUCUGCAACUCGACCCCAUGAAGUUGGAUUCGCUAGUAAUCGCGUAUCAGCAAUGACGCGGUGAAUACGUUCCCGGGCCUUGUACACACCGCCCGUCAAGCCAUGGAAGUUGGGGGUACCUAAAGUAUGUAACCGCAAGGAGCGUCCUAGGGAAA
Molecule: ribosomal RNA, 1401 nt
Filed under: Pedobacter sp. HMD1015
Lineage: Bacteria; Pseudomonadati; Bacteroidota; Sphingobacteriia; Sphingobacteriales; Sphingobacteriaceae
Description: bacterial SSU rRNA
Rfam family: Bacterial small subunit ribosomal RNA
Source: RNAcentral